This is a long non-coding RNA of Hordeum vulgare subsp. vulgare (domesticated barley), 1268 nucleotides long. RefSeq lists it as uncharacterized. The transcript has 3 exons. NCBI's taxonomy places the organism in Eukaryota, Viridiplantae, Streptophyta, Magnoliopsida, Poales, Poaceae. The record is from RefSeq and is a predicted model, not a curated record.
UUAUUGAAACCAAACAGGGCCUUAGCUUAUUGUAGAACUUGCAAGCAGUAGUGAUUGCUUAGUUUAGUGUAGGACUUGCAAGCAUUAGUGGUUGCUUAGUUUAGUGUAGCACUUGCAAGUACUCCCUUUGUCCCAAAAUUAAUGUCGCAGCGCUUAUUUUGCAAUUCAGUCCUCAGACUUUUCCCGACUAAACCCGAAGUCCCUCUCUGUAGUCACUCUCUUCCUCCUUCAUGCCAUAUCGGCCGGCGCCGCUCCCCUUAGCGUAGCUCCAUGUCGACUGUGCCUUCUUUCCCUCACCCGCACCAGCGCCCUCUGCCUUGCGCUCGUCGCCGGCGCUCUCUUCCUCUCGCAUGUCCCUCCGUAUCAGUGAAAAUGUGAUUUUUUUUCCUGCCCGGCGCUCUGAUCUCCAGCGGGCGUGCUCGAUCUACGGAGGGUACUAACAAGAAGGUGCAACGAAGCUGAUUGUUUCGGUCGCCUGCCCAGGGCUGCUUCUGCCGGUCGUCAGGCGCAGGUCUCACUACGGCCACGCAGCAGCCGCGGCGGCAGGGGAGCGGCCAGCUCCGACAUGUUCAUCCGCCCGUUCUGAGACUCCAUCGCCAAGCACACCAACUUGAAGCAGAGACGAGGUGCGGGGAAGGAGCUGGCAGGGAACGAGUACAUCAGCAGCAGAGCCGGCGGGGAAGAAGAGAUGGGCCGAUGAUUGGAAUCACGCAGCAACAGACACGGGGCGCGAGGAAGGAUCUUUGCGGAAUCACGGAGGUGGGCGGCUGCGCACCUGAGCGACGGCUGGGCGCCGAAAUCGCGCAACUGCGCGCCGGCUGGUCCUGACGGACUGGGGACCAGCUCGCCUCCGUGGUCACGACGGUAGGGGCGGAAUCGGCGGGUAUCUGGUGGCGGGUGGGUGGUGGUAUGCGGGCUGUGAGCGCCGGAAUCACGAUCACGGCGGUGGAAUCCAACGACGCCGGACGAUGGCGACGCGCGGGUGACACACACAGGAAGUAGAAGGAGUCAGGGACCUGUUUGAUACUGUCUUAACAGUACGAGCGUUUUUUGCAAAAAGAACACUGUACUGCACGCGUGACAUGAAUUUUGGGACGGAGGGAGUAGUAGUUUAGUGUAGGACUUGCAAGAAGAGAGCUACCGUAGUAUAUUCCUCUUCUUCCCUCUUCUCUUUCUGUUAUCUUUCUCUUUUCUCUUCUCUUUCAAAGGAAACCAAAUGGCUCCAAACGAAUUUUUUCCUUAACUGAAUAUAACUGAAACUUGUCGAA